AACUGAUACUACCUGCGGGAACCUGCGGAAGGAUCAUUAAAGAGAAAACUGCCCUUUGGGUAGAUCUCCCACCCUUUGUUUAUAUUACCUUUGUUGCUUUGGCAGGCCCGUCUCUGACCACCGGCUCUUUGGCUGGUCUGUGCCUGCCAAGAGACCUCCAACUCUUGAUUUGAAGUUGUCCAAGUCUUAUAUAAUAGUAAAAACUUUCAACAAUGGAUCUCUAGAUCGGAAGAGCACACG
This 240-nucleotide unclassified non-coding RNA is filed under the name soil metagenome. RNAcentral's name for it is "partial contains 5.8S ribosomal RNA, internal transcribed spacer 2, and large subunit ribosomal RNA". The record is from RNAcentral.